CGUGAGCUGGGCCAAUUGCCGGUCCAGGUCGCGCCGGUCGGCCAGCACUUGAAGGCGUGCCACGCGCCGGCGCGCGGCC
This 79-nucleotide transfer RNA is filed under the name compost metagenome. RNAcentral describes it as "tRNA-Arg". The record is from RNAcentral.